This 345-nucleotide unclassified non-coding RNA is filed under the name soil metagenome. RNAcentral's name for it is "partial contains 5.8S ribosomal RNA, internal transcribed spacer 2, and large subunit ribosomal RNA". The stretch from base 1 to 120 matches the Rfam family "5.8S ribosomal RNA", at positions 35 to 154 of the family's 154-position model. The record is from RNAcentral.
GAUGAAGAACGCAGCGAAAUGCGAUAAGUAAUGUGAAUUGCAGAAUUCAGUGAAUCAUCGAAUCUUUGAACGCACAUUGCGCCCGCUAGUAUUCUGGCGGGCAUGCCUGUCCGAGCGUCAUUUCAACCCUCAAGCCCCCGGGCUUGGUGUUGGGGAUCGGCGAGCCUCCGCGCCCGCCGUCCCCUAAAUCUAGUGGCGGUCUCGCUGUAGCUUCCUCUGCGUAGUAGCACACCUCGCACUGGGACCGCGGUGCGCUCCGGCCGUUAAAACCCCCACUAUACUGAAGGUUGACCUCGGAUCAGGUAGGAAUACCCGCUGAACUUAAGCAUAUCAAUAAGCGGAGGA